Molecule: unclassified non-coding RNA, 468 nt
Filed under: Hevea brasiliensis (rubber tree)
Lineage: Eukaryota; Viridiplantae; Streptophyta; Magnoliopsida; Malpighiales; Euphorbiaceae
Source: RNAcentral
AUUAAAUGCAAUCAUAUAUGGGAAUAUCAUCUAUGCUAACUGCCAAACAUUCCAUGUGGAUCGAGCCGAGGAAUUGGUCAGGGAGAUGGAAGAGGAGGGUGUUGAUGCUCCAAUUGAUAUCUAUCAUACCAUGAUGGAUGGUUAUACAAUGAUAGGAAAUGAAGAAAAGUGUCUCAUUGUAUUUGAUAGACUUAAGGAGUGUGGAUUUACACCUUCAGUUGUCAGCUAUGGGUGUUUGAUGAACCUCUAUAUCAAGAUUGGUAAGGUAUCCAAAGCUCUUGAGGUCAGUGAAAUGAUGAAAUUGGCUGGCAUAAAGCAUAACAUGAAGACAUAUUCCAUAUUGAUGAAUGGAUUCAUAAAUUUGAAAGAUUGGGCGAAUGCUUUUGCAAUUUUUGAGGAUGUAAUAAGAGAUGGGUUGAAGCCAGAUGUGGUACUUUAUAAUAACAUAAUCAGAGCAUUUUGUGGCAU